AGAGCGAACGCUGGCGGCAGGCCUAACACAUGCAAGUCGAGCGCCCGUAGCAAUACGGGAGCGGCAGACGGGAGAGUAACACGUGGGAACGCGCCCUUCGGUUCGGAAUAACUCAGGGAAACUUGAGCUAAUACCGGAUACGCCCUUACGGGGAAAGAUUUAUUGCCGAAGGAACGGCCCGCGUCCGAUUAGCUAGUUGGUGAGGUAAUGGCUCACCAAGGCGACGAUCGGUAGCUGGUCUGAGAGGAUGACCAGCCUCACUGGGACUGAGACACGGCCCAGACUCCUACGGGAGGCAGCAGUGGGGAAUAUUGGACAAUGGGCGCAAGCCUGAUCCAGCCAUGCCGCGUGAGUGAUGAAGGCCUUAGGGUUGUAAAGCUCUUUUAGCAGGGAAGAUAAUGACGGUACCUGCAGAAAAGCCCGGCUAACUUCGCGCCAGCAGCCGC
RNAcentral lists this ribosomal RNA (446 nucleotides) under uncultured bacterium. RNAcentral's name for it is "SSU rRNA". It matches the Rfam family "Bacterial small subunit ribosomal RNA", at positions 26 to 518 of the family's 1533-position model. The record is from RNAcentral.